Molecule: microRNA, 22 nt
Filed under: Callorhinchus milii (elephant shark)
Lineage: Eukaryota; Metazoa; Chordata; Chondrichthyes; Chimaeriformes; Callorhinchidae
Description: eshark_NOVEL_249
Source: RNAcentral
UUUCCGAUGUGAAGGACACUGU